Molecule: long non-coding RNA, 6642 nt
Filed under: Homo sapiens (human)
Lineage: Eukaryota; Metazoa; Chordata; Mammalia; Primates; Hominidae
Description: non-protein coding lnc-NGFR-3:20
Source: RNAcentral
AUGCGCAGCCCUCGGGCCGGCCCGGGCGCACCUUUUCUGUCUCCUGCCACAUUGUGAGCGCUCCGCCGCCCAGAUAACCGCCGGCUCCCCGCGCCGCCCCCGCCUUCUCCCACUCCGCCCACUGCCGGGAGCCCAGGGGAUGAUGCAGCAAGAAGACCCACACCAGAUGAGGGCGCCUUGAUAUUGGAUUUCCCAGCCUCCAGAACUCAAAUAAAAAUGCAGUCUGGAUUUUAAGGGCCACACAGCAGCAAGAACUAAAACCUGGGUCUCCAAGGUCCAAGUCCAGGACUUCUCUAUGACACCCUACUGCAGCCCUUUGCUGGAUACCAUACAAAGCAAAUUGAGCAGAUGUGUUCUCUGCCCUCUGAAAGUUUGGACUCAAAUGGACAGCCACAAUUCUGGCAAACAUAAAAGGACAAAGUGAUUUAGUGUCAACUCACAUACGCAAUAAAUAACUGAGUUAAAUAGAUAAGGAAAGGCAUGUUCACCUGGUCUACUGAUAUUUUUUAAAUUCCAGUUGAGUAGAGAGCAAUGUUAAUAAGACUAAGGUUUUGGGCCAGUCCCAUUUUUGCCUACUUGCUUUGCACCUGGAAAAAUAUUUGUAACUGCAUGCAAACUCUUUCCCCUCCUCGUCUUCAACAAUCUGUAAACUUUCCCUGAGCAGCUACCAAGUGUAACACAAAGUGGGAAUGAAGGACCAUUAAGAAAUCAUCUCUGUGCCAUGCGCGGUGGCUCAAGCCUAUAAUCCCAGCACUUUGGGAGGCCGAGGCGGGUGGAUCACCUGAGCUCGGGAGUUCAAGGCCAGCCUGGCCAAUAUGGUGAAACCCUGUCUCUACUAAAAAUACAAAAAAAAAAAAAAAAAAAAAAUAGCUGGAUAUGAUGGCAUGUACCUGUAGUCCCAGCUACUCAGGAGGCUGAGGCAGAAGAAUCGCUUGAACCCAGGAGGCAGAGGUUGCAGUGAGCUGAGAUUGCUCCAUUGCACUCCAGCCUGAGAAACAAAAGCAAAACUCUAUCCCCACCCCCCCCAAAAAAAAGGAAGGAAAAGAGAAGAAAAAAAGUCAUCUGUGCCCUCGAGCAACAUCUUUAACCAUUCGCCUAAUUCAAACCACUGGGAUGAAAAUGUAUAUCCUGUAUAUACCAUCUCUACUGCUGGGAAAAAAGACACGUCAACUCAAUACCCAUCCUAUUUUUAGACGGCCUGAGAUUCGUCCUUAUCCAUGCAGGGCAGUCGGGUAGGACAAUGAAGAGGUGGACUUCUGAAUUUGAGAGAAAUUGGUCUUAUCCCAGAGAAGUGAGGCCACCACCCACCUGCAAUAGCUUGGCUUCCUGGAUCCCUAAGCAAAGACAGAGUCUUGCUCUGUCACUCGGGCUGGAGUACAGUGACACAAUCACGGUUCACUGCAGCCUGGACCUCCCAGGCUCAAGUGAUCCCCCUGCUGCAGCCUCCUGAGUAGCUGGGACUACAGGCCUGUGCCACCAUGUCCAGAUAUAAUCCCCAGUAUUGGAAGUGGAGCCUGAUGGGAGGUAUUGGGGUCAUGGGAGCAGAUCCCUCAUGGCUUCGUGCUGUUCUCACCACAUAAAAGCUUCCUGAGGCCUCCCUAGAAGAGGAGCAGAUGCUGUUGCCAUGCUUCUUGUACAGCCUGCAGAACUGUGAACCAAUUAAACUCUUUUCUUUAUACGUUAUCCAGUCUCAGGUAUUUCUUUAUAGCAAUGUAAGAACAGCCUAAUGGCUGGGCACAGUGGCUUAUGCCUGCAAUCCCAGCACUUUGGGAGGCUGAGGCAAAUGGAUUGCUUGAGCCCAGAAGUUCAAGACCAGUCUGGGCAACAUGACAAGACCCCGUCUCUACAAAAAAAAAAAAAAAAAAAAAAAAAAAAAAAAAAUUAGCCAGGCCUGCUGGCAUGCACCUGUAGUCCAAGCUACUUGGGAGGCUGAGGUGGAAGGGUCCCUUGAACCUGGGAGGUGGAGGUUGCAGUGAGCCAAUAUUGUGCCAUUGCACUCCAGCCUGGAUGACAGAACGAGACUCUGUCUCAAAACCAAACCAACCCAAAAAAAAAAAAAAAAAAAAAAAGAACAGCCUACAGCUGGGCGCAGGGACUCAUGCCUGUAAUCCCAGCACUUUGGGAGGCUGAGGUGGGUGGAUCACCUGAGGUCAGGAGUUCAAGACCAGCCUGGCCAACAUGGUGAAACCCUCUCUACUACAAAUACAAAAAAUUAGCCAGGCAUGGUGGCACACACCUGUAAUCCCAGCUUACUCAGAAGGCUGAGGCCCGAGAAUUGCUUGAACCCGGAAGGCGGAGAUUGCAGUGAACCGAGAUCAUGCCACUGCACUCCAGCUUGGGUAACAGAGAGACUCUGUCUCAAAAAAUAAUAAUAAAAUAAUAAAAAAAAAAUUAAAAAAGAACAGCCUACUACAUUUUCUUGCAGGUCCGGUCCACUGCUAGGAGAUCCAUAUCUACUCUUUGGGAGUUCUCCAGAGGAAAAAAUCAACAGGCGGGAGAAAGAUACUCUGCUAGCUUCAGAUUCAUUAGUACUAGGAAAUGGAGAGAUAGGAGGUAUAAUGUAUUAGGGAAGCAAGGGAUUCAGAACCAGGUGCCCACUGACUCUGAGAAGCACUGGGUGCACAGAGGGUAGCAGACAAGCAAGAGGGUGGAAUUUGCAGCAUCUCAUCUUGGUGAGACAGUUGGAAGACUUUUCUGCCAAUUAUAGUGGUUAAACACUGACUCAACAUCAAACAACGGCAUGAGGGGUCAGAGCCUUCAUUCGUGGACAAGUUUCAAAAACAUGGGAGCACCACCUGUCAUGAGCAAUUUAGUCAGAACAGAAGAGAAUAGAUCACACCCAACAAGACAGAAAAAGCUGCUUUCUGGAGAGGGCGGGAGCUAAUAUUUCCUAACACGGUGAAAUUGUGAAGUGCUUUUUGCAGCCCUUCAUAAUUUCAUCAUCCAAAGGGUUUGCUUUUGGAAUUCUUAGACACUUAAUUCUGUCCCUGCUUUCCGUGUCACUUCCACGGGACACUGAAUUUGGGAAGAGGGAGACCUCACCAAUGAUGGGAAGAACAGAUUGGGGGCUGGCGCCCUUUUGGGUUUGCCAUGUGAACAUCCUCCUGGAACAGUCUCCAUUCUGUCCCAGCAAGACACACUCUGCUCUGUGAAGAACCCAGGUGGGAAAAAAAAAAAAAUCUAUGAGGCCACAGUGGAAAUGCAGCUCAGCAGGACUCUCAGGUACCCCAAAAUUGUCCCAUCUGACAACUCACCACAUUCUAUUUAUUUAUUUAUUUAUUUAUUUUGAGAUGGAGUCUCACUGUGUCACCCAGGCUGGAGUGUAGUGGCGUGAUCUAGGCUCACCGCAGCCUACGCCUCCCAGAUUCAAGCGAUUCUCCUGCCUCAGCCUCCCAUGUAGCUGAGACUACAGGCAUGCGCCACCACACCCAGCUAAUUUUUGUAUUUUUAGUAGAGAUGGGGUUUCGCCAUGUUGCCCAGGCUGGUCUCAAACUUCUGACCUCAGGUGAUCCACCCCCGCCCCUCAGCCUCCCAAAGUUCUGGGAUUACAGUCAUGAGACACUGCACCUGGCCAACACAUUCUGUUUUCAUCAUUAGUGCCUGUCCUCCCUGCUAGCUCAUGGGCUCCCCCAGAGCAGGCAUGUUUGCCCUAGUCACCAUCAAAACUGUCUUAGUACCUGUCACGGUGCCUGGCACAUAGCAGUUAUUCAGUAAAUGUUUGUUGAAUAAAUCAACUAUAAACAUCAAAAUGAUUCCCUUAAAAAGGUCUUCAUUCUUGUUCAGAUGUAGAGAGUUACAUUACAAACACUUGUGUGCUGGGGAUAGGAAGGGACACUGUUGGGUAAUAAUAAGUGCUUGAAACAUGUGGGAGGGCCCUGGAAAAUAGCCCAAAAAGUUCACAUUGUAUCUGAUAAGCAACAGGGAGCUACUGCAGGUUCUUCAGGUCACCAGUAGGCAAGCAGGUGGUGGCUUUCCAGGCUGAAAAGUGUAUUUGAUCUGGAAGAUAGUAGGAUCACAGACAAACAGUGAGUCUUGGAGUAGCCUGAUCACAGUGGCAAGCUCAAGAGACAAUUUUAUGGCUGAGGGCUGAAUGUUUCAGCUGGGUGGGUGUCAAGAAACCAGCAAGACUCCAGGCAUGGUGGCUCAUGCCUGUAAUCCCAACACUUAGGGAGGCCGAGACAGAGGAUCCCUUAAGCCCAGGAGUUUGAGACCAGCCUGGGCAGUAUAAGGAAGCCCUGUCUCUACAAAAAUAAAAACAUAACAAAAUUAGCCAAGUGUGGUGGCGUGUGCCUGUGCUUCUAGCUCCUUCAGAGGCUGAAGUGGGGAGGAUCACUCGAGCCUGGGAGGUUGAGGCUUCACUGAGCUGUGAUCAUGCUGCUGCACUCCAGCCUGGGCGACAGAGUGAGACCCUGUCUCAAAAAACAAACAAACAAACAAGAAACCCAGCAAGAAUUAAGAAUUCUGGUGAGCACUGUUCCCGUGUGACCUCAGAGAGCUGAUAGGCAAUUUGAUGGCAGAGGCGGGGGCCAGUGCAGUCAUGGCCAAAAAUGGCCAGGGAGGAAGAAGAUGCCCUGGGUCUCAGCCCAGAGUCUGGUGUUGGAUGGUGUGGAGAGUAGAAGUGAAGCCAAAGUAAGGUCUGUCUUUCUUCAGAGAGAGCCUCCUAAAGGCAGAGGACAUGUCUUAUCCAUCUACACCCACAGCUCCAAGCGGAGCUCCUUGCCCAGAGAAGCUGCUUAAUAAAUUGACACACGAAUGCUUGGCUGCCUCGCUGGCUCUGGGAGGCAUGGAUGAUGCCAGAGCUUGGGGAGGCCACUGAAGCAGUGUUUAUUGUCCUUUCUCCUCCAACUUCCUCAGUCUACCCUUCUGUGUUGUCCCACCUCUCCUUGAAGCCAGAAGAUGUCCCCAAAGGUUGCUACUCUCCACAUGGACAGCAGCCAGGAGACGCCUGCCCUGCCCCGCCCCUUGCUAGUUGGUGAUGCUGGCCUAGCAAGGCAGGGUCCUGCAGGAUGAAAGCUCGGAGAAGCCAAAACAGGAAUAAUAAUGAUAAUAAUCAGCUGCGGCGUCUCAACCAUCCAGGAAUGCAAGGCUCCACGCCCUGUGUGCCUCACACCCCAGGACAUCGCAAGGGCUCCUCUCCCUUUAUUUUAUUGCAGUGAUCCCACACUGCCAUUCCCAGCCCAACCCAUCUGGAUUCCCAAGAACUGCAGUCCAGCCACCGGCUCAUCCACCACCCAGUUUCCAUGGGAAUAUUCAGCUCCAAGACCUAAGCCAGCAGCAGGGUAAGACGCCCAGCUACUUGGAAACUCGUGCUCCAUGGCUUCUGGGAGAAGCAGUCUGCCCACCCCUGGCCUGGAACGCUUUCCCAUAGACCCAUCUAUGUCUGGUCAAUGUGAGGGCCAGGUACCUUGCUUGUGUCAAUCCAAAUCUGGAUUCAAGUCUGGUCUGGCCUUAAACUAACUCACCACGGGACCCUAGACAGGUUUGGUUUCAUUUUUUAACUUUUUUGGGUUCACUCGCUCUCUUGCCCAAAAGCUUUUCAAGGAUCCCCAUGGCUCAGUGAAGAUAAACUCUGGAUCUAGAGGUCUAGUACGUGGCCAUUUGAAAUCUCGUUCUAAAACACCUUUCCAAAUCCACUCGUCUCCUUCACCUUUGGGAUGCCAGCCAGAAGGAAGUACUCACCGUUGGUCAUGCACAUCCCAUGCUUUUCCAUUUGGGGAUUUUGCUCCUUCUUUGGGAAUGUCAUUCCUUCCACCUCUACCUCCACCUGGCAAGACCCUCCUAGCCUUCAAGGCCCAGGCCAGGGGCCAUCUCCUCCAUGAUUAUGCCUGACCCUCAUCCACCUUGGAACCCUGCUUCCUUUUCCUCAGACCCUUUCAAGCCCCAGUACUCACAUUGUGCUGUGGGUGUGUGCAUAUCUUAAUCAUCAGCAUCCUGAUGUCUCGUUCAUCUCUGUGUCUCCAUGGCGGCUAGUACAGCACCUUGCACACAGGGCAAGGAAUCAAUACAUAAGUUCCAGACAUACAUUGUGGAGAAUAAUCAUCCUCACUCUAUUAAAUCCUCCCACAAUUGUGCUCCAAAAAAUAAAAAUAAUUAUUUUAGGCCAGGUGUGAUGGCUCACAUCUGUAAUCCCAGCACUUUGGGAGGCCAAGGCAGGAGGAUCGCUUGAGCCCAGGAGUUUCAGACCAGCUUGGGCAACAUAGUGGGACCCUAUCUCUACAAAAAAUAAAAUUAGCCAGGCAUGGUUGCACAUGCCUGUUGUCCCAGCUACUCAGGAGGCUGAGGUGGGAGGAUUGACUGAGCUGGGGAGGCAAAGGUUGCAGUGAGCCAAGAUCAUACCACUGCACUCCAGCCUGAGUGACAGAGCAAGACCCUGUCUCCCUAGCUCCAAAAUGUUUAUUUAAUAUAACAUUUCCUGAGUGUGUAUUAUUGGCUUGAGAGAGAAAUAAAGAGUACAAAGGCCAGGAAGGCCCCUUACCCCCACCCCAGCCUCCUCUGUAGGUAGGAUGCAGGUACCCAAGUCUCCAUGAAGACAUCAGCUCUCUGGCUUUGGCUCCUAGGCUGACACUAGGAACCCUUUCCUUGACCAGUGGCUGGUCCAGUUCCAUCUCAGACUCUGUCUAGUACGAGGUGGGUUCUUCCCUU